UAAAGAUUCAUCGCUGAUAGAUAGGCAUGCGUUCCAUUAGGCAGUUGGCGGGGUAACGGCCCACCAAACCGACGAUGGAUAGGGGUUCUGAGAGGAAGGUCCCCCACAUUGGUACUGAGACACGGACCAAACUCCUACGGGAGGCAGCAGUGAGGAAUAUUGGUCAAUGGGCGUAAGCCUGAACCAGCCAAGUCGCGUGAGGGAUGAAGGUUCUAUGGAUCGUAAACCUCUUUUAUAAGGGAAUAAAGUGCGGGACGUGUCCCGUUUUGUAUGUACCUUAUGAAUAAGGAUCGGCUAACUCCGUGCCAGCAGCCGCGGUAAUACGGAGGAUCCGAGCGUUAUCCGGAUUUAUUGGGUUUAAAGGGUGCGUAGGCGGCCUUUUAAGUCAGCGGUGAAAGUCUGUGGCUCAACCAUAGAAUUGCCGUUGAAACUGGGAGGCUUGAGUAUGUUUGAGGCAGGCGGAAUGCGUGGUGUAGCGGUGAAAUGCUUAGAUAUCACGCAGAACCCCGAUUGCGAAGGCAGCCUGCCAAGCCAUGACUGACGCUGAUGCACGAAAGCGUGGGGAUCAAACAGGAUUAGAUACCCUGGUAGUCCACGCAGUAAACGAUGAUCACUAGCUGUUUGCGAUA
RNAcentral lists this ribosomal RNA (629 nucleotides) under uncultured bacterium. RNAcentral's name for it is "bacterial SSU rRNA". It matches the Rfam family "Bacterial small subunit ribosomal RNA", at positions 202 to 831 of the family's 1533-position model. The record is from RNAcentral.